AAAUUCAUUGGAUCCAAAAAGUAGAGGAAAUAGCAAAAUUCAGAGAAGUGUGGGUGUGUAAACCCUAGAGAAAAACAGGGAAAACAAAACUACAGAGCACCACAUUUUUAAGCCCAUCUGUAGUUAAUGUUGCCUUUUUCCUUCUCUUUUUCCCCAGAUGAUCAUUUUCGUCAGAUUGCCAUGUUAAUCAAUUGGCUUUUGGUUGUUUUCCUCUCAAGUCACCUGAAGCUUUUCUUCAUGGCACCUGAAGCCGAGGUGUAGGCUAGAAGGGCAGAGGAUAUCUCAGUGCCUGGAAGUGGCCAAGCCUGGUUAGAGCUAAGAGUUUGCAGAAAGUCAUGGAGUCUCAAAGAGAGGCCUCAAAUUUUCCAUCAAAGAAAGUUUAUUAUAACCUGUUGAGAGUCCUCCCACCCACAGGAUUUACUGUCCUGUAAAGAUGGUUUAAACAAGCCCCAGCUGACAACUAAGUUAGGUCUUAAGUAUUCAGUAGAGGGCUGAAAGAGGAAGGAAUUUAAGAAAUUAUUGGGUCAUCCUGAGCCUCGACAAAUCCUGUGCUUCUGGAGCUGCCUGGUUGGCCAGCAACCUCUAUGGAAUCCAGGUGACUCUCCUCAUAUGGAUUUGAUCAGCACUUCGUGUGGUAAUUUCCCAUCAGAUUCUGUGUUCUGUCCUUUCAGAAUCCAAACAUCUUGUUUCUUUUCCUGAAUUUAGGAAAGUUUAAAUUACAACUGUGUUCACAAGGACUGAUUGUUACAGGCCUGUUUUUCAGUGAUAAGUUUGGUCACAAAAUUGAAGGAGGCUUUGAUAUUUGACCCUUGGAUGAAAAAUAAAGUUUGCCUUCACACUAAUGGGAAUCAUGGUUGCCACGUCAAAGUUGGUAUCCUACAUACAGAGAAGAGUACAUGAUUGUCAACAUUUUAAAGUUUAUAGAAAUGUAAUUUAAAUUUUAAUAAACCAUAUUUUGUAUUUUCGUAAUUUAAAAUUGUUACAUUUUAAUU
This is a non-coding RNA of Sus scrofa (pig), 992 nucleotides long. NCBI's taxonomy places the organism in Eukaryota, Metazoa, Chordata, Mammalia, Artiodactyla, Suidae. The record is from RefSeq and is a predicted model, not a curated record.